RNAcentral lists this long non-coding RNA (362 nucleotides) under Androctonus crassicauda. The record is from RNAcentral. Lineage: Eukaryota; Metazoa; Arthropoda; Arachnida; Scorpiones; Buthidae.
UAUGGUAACUUCAUAAAAAUUAACGUCAGUGGCAAAAGACAAUAUUCACAAACUUUAAAGCAAAAACAAUAAAAUACUAUAAUAAUAUAAGUUCAUAACCCUGUUUAACCCACUUGCAUAUAUGCGGCUGUCUUUAUUUUAUUUUAUUUUCAACCCGAAUCAUGAAACUGUCGUCCAGCAGUCUUGCUUAUAUGUUUCUGUACCAUAUAUUUCCAGGCAUCUGAGAUUUCUAACGAUGUUUUUUCAUUUAACACUGUACCCUCUCCUUUGGCUUUCAAAAUUUCCAAACUCUCCGCCAUUAGUGCAUGCGAUGCUUUUGCUAUCGGUCGUAUAAUCUUCGCCUCUUCCCAACCUAUCUCUAC